UUCCAUCAAACUUAGAUGGGUUUCUACCCCCCUCUCUCUCUACCUUGCCCAUAUCCGUCGCGUUUGUUUUUUUCCUUGGUGUGAGCACUUGUUUCGGUUUGGUCUUUAUUAAAACUCUGAUGGAGGCUGCAUUCCUCGUAGACGAUGAUGAAUAUGAAGACAGACAAAUGGAUUUGUCUGCCAAGACUUGUCUUCAAAUUCCACUACAAAUAGGAGUGACCGGCGUGUGAGGAGCUUCCCCAACAAUGGAAGGAGCAACCGGAUCUCGAGGAGUGAUCCUAAACACCGAGCGAAUGCCCCUUUAGUACGUUAGUAGGGUACGCUCACGUACAAUGGCAGGAGCAACCGGCUUGUGAGGAGCUUCUCCAACAAUGGAAGGAGCAACCGGAUCUCGAGGAGUGAUUCUAAACACCGAACUGACAAAAACAACUGGAUCUAGAGGAGUUUAGUAAUUAACAGAAGCAACUGGAUCUAGAGGAGUGAUUUUUUAGUAAUUGACAGAAACAAUUGGAUCUUGAGGACUGUGAGGAGCAACCGGAUCAUGAUCAACUUCACCAUCACCUGUCCUAACAAAGUCUCCUACUCCAAAAUAAAAAUAAAAAAUAUUUUUUAAAGCAUGUAAUGUAAUAAGCAAUAAUAAAACUGUUACAAAUGGAUUCUUAAGUGUUUACCUUGUAUUAUUAAAUAUUGUCAUCGAUUUGUCCAACUCUCAAA
Morus notabilis is the source of this 714-nucleotide long non-coding RNA. RefSeq lists it as uncharacterized. The transcript has 3 exons. NCBI's taxonomy places the organism in Eukaryota, Viridiplantae, Streptophyta, Magnoliopsida, Rosales, Moraceae. The record is from RefSeq and is a predicted model, not a curated record.